Molecule: non-coding RNA, 120 nt
Organism: Xylariaceae sp. FL1019
Lineage: Eukaryota; Fungi; Ascomycota; Sordariomycetes; Xylariales; Xylariaceae
Source: the annotation of a GenBank genome assembly
UCCUCCGUGGCGCAAUUGGCUAGCGCGUUCGACUGUUAUCAGCUUCUGCUGCCAGUACAACGCUGGUACUGUGAGUAGCAGGCAAUCGAGAGGUUGACAGUUCAAGCCUGUCCGGGGGAG